RNAcentral lists this ribosomal RNA (376 nucleotides) under Streptomyces sp. 8LC5. RNAcentral's name for it is "partial 16S ribosomal RNA". Lineage: Bacteria; Bacillati; Actinomycetota; Actinomycetes; Kitasatosporales; Streptomycetaceae. The record is from RNAcentral.
GUCACUUGCGCUUCUUCCCUGCUGAAAGAGGUUUACAACCCGAAGGCCGUCAUCCCUCACGCGGCGUCGCUGCAUCAGGCUUUCGCCCAUUGUGCAAUAUUCCCCACUGCUGCCUCCCGUAGGAGUCUGGGCCGUGUCUCAGUCCCAGUGUGGCCGGUCGCCCUCUCAGGCCGGCUACCCGUCGUCGCCUUGGUGAGCCGCUACCUCACCAACAAGCUGAUAGGCCGCGGGCUCAUCCCGCACCGCCGGAGCUUUACACCCCCCCCCAUGCGAGAGAAAGUGUUAUCCGGUAUUAGACCCCGUUUCCAGGGCUUGUCCCGGAGUGAAGGGCAGAUUGCCCACGUGUUACUCACCCGUUCGCCACUAAUCCCCGCCC